GACGAACGCUGGCGGCGUGCCUAAUACAUGCAAGUUGAGCGAUGAAGAUUGGUGCUGGCACCAAUUUGAAGAGAAGCGAACGGGUGAGUAACGCGUGGGGAAUCUGCCUUUGAGCGGGGGACAACAUUUGGAAACGAAUGCUAAUACCGCAUAACAACUUUAAACAUAAGUUUUAAGUUUGAAAGAUGCAAUUGCAUCACUCAAAGAUGAUCCCGCGUUGUAUUAGCUAGUUGGUGAGGUAAAGGCUCACCAAGGCGAUGAUACAUAGCCGACCUGAGAGGGUGAUCGGCCACAUUGGGCCUGAGACACGGCCCAAACUACUACGGGAGGCAGCAGUAGGGAAUCUUCGGCAAUGGCAGAAAGUCUGACCGAGCAACGCCGCGUGAGUGCAGAAGGUUUUCGGAUCGUAAAACUCUGUUGGUAGAGAAGAACGUUGGUGAGAGUGGAAAGCUCAUCAAGUGACGGUAACUACACAGAAAGGGACGGCUAACUACGUG
This 497-nucleotide ribosomal RNA is filed under the name uncultured bacterium. Its description in RNAcentral is "partial 16S ribosomal RNA". It matches the Rfam family "Bacterial small subunit ribosomal RNA", at positions 28 to 507 of the family's 1533-position model. The record is from RNAcentral.